This 497-nucleotide ribosomal RNA is filed under the name uncultured bacterium. Its description in RNAcentral is "partial 16S ribosomal RNA". It matches the Rfam family "Bacterial small subunit ribosomal RNA", at positions 28 to 523 of the family's 1533-position model. The record is from RNAcentral.
GAUGAACGCUGGCGGCGUGCUUAACACAUGCAAGUCGAACGAAGCACUCUAUUUGAUUUUCUUCGGAAAUGAAGAUUUUGUGACUGAGUGGCGGACGGGUGAGUAACGCGUGGGUAACCUGCCUCAUACAGGGGGAUAACAGUUGGAAACGACUGCUAAUACCGCAUAAGCGCACAGUAUUGCAUGAUACAGUGGGAAAAACUCCGGUGGUAUGAGAUGGACCCGCGUCUGAUUAGCUAGUUGGUGGGGCAACGGCCUACCAAGGCGACGAUCAGUAGCCGACCUGAGAGGGUGACCGGCCACAUCGGGACUGAGACACGGCCCAAACUCCUACGGGAGGCAGCAGUGGGGAAUAUUGCACAAUGGGGGAAACCCUGAUGCAGCGACGCCGCGUGAACGAAGAAGUAUUUCGGUAUGUAAAGUUCUAUCAGCAGGGAAGAUAAUGACGGUACCUGACUAAGAAGCACCGGCUAAAUACGUGCCAGCCGCCGCGGUAA